GCGGAUAUGGCGGAAUUGGCAGACGCGCCAGAUUUAGGUUCUGGUGUCAGCAGACGUGCAGGUUCAAGUCCUGUUAUCCGCA
This 82-nucleotide transfer RNA is filed under the name Butyrivibrio sp. RNAcentral's name for it is "tRNA-Leu". It matches the Rfam family "tRNA". From Rfam's summary of the family: Transfer RNA (tRNA) molecules are approximately 80 nucleotides in length. The record is from RNAcentral. RNAcentral also lists the same sequence under 4 other names. Lineage: Bacteria; Bacillati; Bacillota; Clostridia; Lachnospirales; Lachnospiraceae.